GAAUGAUUCUCAAGUAGGAUUCAAUGAUUCAAUCUUAGGAUUCAAUAAUUGAAUCCUAAGAUUAAAUCAUUGAGUCCUACUUGAGAAUC
Molecule: non-coding RNA, 89 nt
Organism: Paramuricea clavata
Lineage: Eukaryota; Metazoa; Cnidaria; Anthozoa; Malacalcyonacea; Plexauridae
Source: the annotation of a GenBank genome assembly